RNAcentral lists this ribosomal RNA (253 nucleotides) under uncultured bacterium. Its description in RNAcentral is "partial 16S ribosomal RNA". It matches the Rfam family "Bacterial small subunit ribosomal RNA", at positions 524 to 776 of the family's 1533-position model. The record is from RNAcentral.
UACGGGGGGGGCAAGCGUUGUUCGGAAUUACUGGGCGUAAAGGGUCUGUAGGUGGCCAACUAAGCCAGACGUGAAAUCCCUCAGCUUAACUGGGGAACUGCGUCUGGGACUGGAUGGCUUGAGUGCAGGAGAGGAACGCGGAAUUCCAGGUGUAGCGGUGAAAUGCGUAGAUAUCUGGAGGAACACCGGUGGCGAAGGCGGCGUUCUGGACUGCAACUGACACUGAGAGACGAAAGCCAGGGGAGCAAACGGG